GCUGUCACUAUAGGAUGGGCCCGCGGCGCAUUAGCUAGUUGGUGAGGUAACGGCUCACCAAGGCGACGAUGCGUAGCCGACCUGAGAGGGUGAUCGGCCACACUGGGACUGAGACACGGCCCAGACUCCUACGGGAGGCAGCAGUAGGGAAUCUUUCCGACAAUGGAGCGGAAAGUCCGGAUGGAGGCAACGCCCGCCGGGAGUGAAGAAGGGCUUUUCGG
The sequence is a ribosomal RNA, 221 nucleotides long. It matches the Rfam family "Bacterial small subunit ribosomal RNA", at positions 211 to 421 of the family's 1533-position model.